UACGAAGGGGGCUAGCGUUGUUCGGAAUUACUGGGCGUAAAGCGCGCGUAGGCGGCUUUGCAAGCCAGAGGUGAAAUGCCUGAGCUCAACUUAGGAAUUGCCUUUGGGACUGCAAGGCUUCGAGGACUGGAGGGGUGAGUGGAAUUCCCAGUGUAGAGGUGAAAUUCGUAGAUAUUGGGAAGAACACCAGUGGCGAAGGCGGCUCACUGGCCAGUUUCUGACGCUAAAGUGCGAAAGCGUGGGGAUCAAACAGG
RNAcentral lists this ribosomal RNA (254 nucleotides) under uncultured Rhizomicrobium sp. RNAcentral's name for it is "partial 16S ribosomal RNA". It matches the Rfam family "Bacterial small subunit ribosomal RNA", at positions 524 to 776 of the family's 1533-position model. The record is from RNAcentral. Lineage: Bacteria; Pseudomonadati; Pseudomonadota; Alphaproteobacteria; Micropepsales; Micropepsaceae.